AGUGAACGCUGGCGGUAGGCCUAACACAUGCAAGUCGAACGGCAGCACAGUAAGAGCUUGCUCUUACGGGUGGCGAGUGGCGGACGGGUGAGGAAUACAUCGGAAUCUACUUUUUCGUGGGGGAUAACGUAGGGAAACUUACGCUAAUACCGCAUACGACCUACGGGUGAAAGCAGGGGAUCUUCGGACCUUGCGCGAUUGAAUGAGCCGAUGUCGGAUUAGCUAGUUGGCGGGGUAAAGGCCCACCAAGGCGACGAUCCGUAGCUGGUCUGAGAGGAUGGUCAGCUACACUGGAACUGAGAAACGGUCCAGACUCCGACGGGGGGCAGCAGUGGGGAAUAUUGGACAAUGGGGGCAAGCCUGAUCCAGCAAUACCGCGUGGGUGAAGAAGGCCUUCGGGUUGUAAAGCCCUUUUGUUGGGAAAGAAAAGCAGCAGGUUAAUACCCCGCUGUUCUGACGGUACCCAAAGAAUAAGCACCGGCUAACUUCGUG
RNAcentral lists this ribosomal RNA (492 nucleotides) under uncultured bacterium. Its description in RNAcentral is "partial 16S ribosomal RNA". It matches the Rfam family "Bacterial small subunit ribosomal RNA", at positions 29 to 507 of the family's 1533-position model. The record is from RNAcentral.